This 178-nucleotide small RNA is filed under the name Chelonoidis abingdonii (Abingdon island giant tortoise). RNAcentral describes it as "TUC338 (ENSCABG00000014329.1)". Lineage: Eukaryota; Metazoa; Chordata; Testudines; Testudinidae. The record is from RNAcentral.
UUGACAGCCCCAGAGACUGAAGUCCUCUAUCCACCAAACAUGCACACAUGGGUGGCAGUAGGGCAGGCUUCUUCACAGUAUCCUGCUAAUGUGUUGUCUCCGUUUUGACUUUGCAAGGAUAUCAUCUGGGGAUAAGAGGGUAUUCCAGUGCCCUGUAGUGAAUCAAGCCUUGGCCUCC